RNAcentral lists this long non-coding RNA (555 nucleotides) under Bos indicus x Bos taurus (hybrid cattle). RNAcentral's name for it is "lncRNA (ENSBIXG00005030837.1)". The record is from RNAcentral. Lineage: Eukaryota; Metazoa; Chordata; Mammalia; Artiodactyla; Bovidae.
CUGGAAGGGGUGAGAGGAGGGAGUGUUUCCUAGAAGCACGAGAGAAGCUCAGCUGCAAGUACGACUCACACCUUCACUAGAGGAAGCUGGUCACUGCCAGCACUCUACCCAGCAGAGAGGAGGCCAGAGGAACAUGUAGACCUGCUCUGCUCUUCUGCUCUGCUGUGGUGCAGCUCGGUGGCAGAGGAAGCCAGGUCCUCAAUGCUGCCUUCAGAGAAGCAACCGAACAUCCUGGGAUUUCUUGGUCACGUCAGUUUUGAGUGUUCUGCUCCUUUGUUGCCUCCCCAGGGCAUCUGGACCUGGGCCUGGGAUGUUGGUGGAUAUUAAGGCCCAUCAGGGGUUUUGGACCCCUACGUGCAGCUGACCCCUGGGCCUCUCCAUCCGAAGCAUCCACACUCUCAUCAGAUGCGGCAUGCUUGGCUGUCGAUACCGUCUUCCCAGGUAAGUUGUUCAAGGCCAUAAGGCUGGAAGUGAAAGCGUGAGCUCCUUACCCGGGUCCUCUGGUGUCCAGCACCAGGUUCUUUCUUCUGAACAGAGAAGGGGCCUAGGAUGAUG